UAGAAAUAUACAGUUUGGCAUAAAGUUCAAACAGCAAACUUCCUCCAACUGAAAAGGUUACAUUUUCUCGAGGAGUUAAGUUUCAGUGGAACAAUAUGAACCCCGAUAACGAAAACCAUCAACAACAGCUUGUGAACAUCUUGUUAAGAAGUGACAGUAUAUUUUAGAGUCCAGACAUUGUUGAAUAAUAUGCGAAUGCAAACUGGUACGGAAUGGUUGUAAUAUGAUGUCACAUUAUGACAAACUGUUAGUUUUUGAAUCGGCACAACACACGCACACAUAGACAUUUUACUAUACAAAACAUUGGUUUAACAGAUUGGCAAAUGGUUGCCCGUAUUUGUAUUGAUGAGGUUUGGAAAAAUGGAUUGUUUUGCUUGCGUAUCUUCAUUUCUCGCUUAAUAAUCAAUAAAGGUUUAUCUGAAAAAAAAUCUCUCCAUGACAAUCAACUAUGAAAUUUAUUUGAAUAUGCCUGGGGUCGACACUAAUUAAUAGGGCACUAUAGUUUAUCGGAGUGCCCUAAUAGAAUUUAUUAAAUUCGCAUUUGCUUGCUUUUUAUAAGAAAAUCGUUCUUUAUUCGAGUUUAUUUUAUUUUCGGGAAAGGUCCUUUUCAAAAGUUACGGCAGUUUUUCUCCUAUGCCGUGGCUGGACGAGUUGGUCCAAACAUGAUGGAAACAAAUUCCAAAUUCCGCCUCGCUAGUUGGCCAAAGCAAACCCGAGGACUCUUCCCUGGAGGAUUGGAAUACGAACAACUCAAUGUCAAUCCGGGCAAAUAGGAAUCUGUAAGGUGCAAAAAUACAUCGGAAUUUUCCGCACUGUUGCUGAAGCAAGUGAUCCGCUCAAGUCUCUCUAGCGCACCUGGAUGAUUACAACCUCGGUUACAACCAACAACAGAGUGGAAACAACCGAAGGAAGAUGAAAGCUAAGCAACUCCCUACAAUCUUUCGGACCGCUUCCGACGGAGACCUCGAUGGAGACAACAUCUAGAUCAGCUUCUGGGACUUGUUUAGCUAAUCGUCCAUAUCGGCACAUCCGAGGUGCAGCAAAUGUCGACCAGGAGCAAGAAACCAUCCAGAAGUUUAUCAUUCUUUUUCGUGUUCAUUCAUUAAUGUUCCGUUGUUCGAGUUCGGAAAAAUAUGUCGUGCGUGAUGAUAUAUGAUGUCUUGAUUGUUCUAUGUACAUAAUGCAAUAAACAGUUUUUUUUUUAUUUAUUAUUUUUACAUUACAGGCUGGACCUCAUUAUCCGGAGCCGUGUUCUAAAACUUCUCAAACAUUCAUAGCAAACGGAAUGCUGUACAAAGAUGAAAUUGUGAUUGAAUACUUAUAAAACUUUUUAACUACAUGCCAAAGUUUCAGCUUCAUGCAUCAUUCCGUUCGUAAGAUAUAUGCUUGGGCAGUUUCAGAAUGCGACUUCGGAUAACCAGAGUCCAGCUUGUUUUUAUUAUUAUGGUUUAUGGUCUUAAUGCGAGGGAACAGUAUAUUAUAGGAUUUAAAUACAAUAAAGAACAAUAAGCUUCCAGUUACACAUA
Aedes albopictus (Asian tiger mosquito) is the source of this 1526-nucleotide long non-coding RNA. RefSeq lists it as uncharacterized. The record is from RefSeq and is a predicted model, not a curated record. NCBI's taxonomy places the organism in Eukaryota, Metazoa, Arthropoda, Insecta, Diptera, Culicidae. The transcript has 2 exons.